RNAcentral lists this ribosomal RNA (803 nucleotides) under Bacillus amyloliquefaciens. RNAcentral describes it as "bacterial SSU rRNA". It matches the Rfam family "Bacterial small subunit ribosomal RNA", at positions 10 to 796 of the family's 1533-position model. The record is from RNAcentral. Lineage: Bacteria; Bacillati; Bacillota; Bacilli; Caryophanales; Bacillaceae.
AGUUUGAUCCUGGCUCAGGACGAACGCUGGCGGCGUGCUAAUACAUGCAAGUCGAGCGGACAGAUGGGAGCUUGCUCCCUGAUGUUAGCGGCGGACGGGUGAGUAACACGUGGGUAACCUGCCUGUAAGACUGGGAUAACUCCGGGAAACCGGGGCUAAUACCGGAUGGUUGUUUGAACCGCAUGGUUCAGACAUAAAAGGUGGCUUCGGCUACCACUUACAGAUGGACCCGCGGCGCAUUAGCUAGUUGGUGAGGUAACGGCUCACCAAGGCGACGAUGCGUAGCCGACCUGAGAGGGUGAUCGGCCACACUGGGACUGAGACACGGCCCAGACUCCUACGGGAGGCAGCAGUAGGGAAUCUUCCGCAAUGGACGAAAGUCUGACGGAGCAACGCCGCGUGAGUGAUGAAGGUUUUCGGAUCGUAAAGCUCUGUUGUUAGGGAAGAACAAGUGCCGUUCAAAUAGGGCGGCACCUUGACGGUACCUAACCAGAAAGCCACGGCUAACUACGUGCCAGCAGCCGCGGUAAUACGUAGGUGGCAAGCGUUGUCCGGAAUUAUUGGGCGUAAAGGGCUCGCAGGCGGUUUCUUAAGUCUGAUGUGAAAGCCCCCGGCUCAACCGGGGAGGGUCAUUGGAAACUGGGGAACUUGAGUGCAGAAGAGGAGAGUGGAAUUCCACGUGUAGCGGUGAAAUGCGUAGAGAUGUGGAGGAACACCAGUGGCGAAGGCGACUCUCUGGUCUGUAACUGACGCUGAGGAGCGAAAGCGUGGGGAGCGAACACGAUUAGAUACCCUGGUAGUCC